AAUUCACCUUUUUACAGGUGUUGUUCUGUUCCCAGAGGCCACCCUUCCUCUCAGAGCAGUUUUACCUAGUUAUAAAGCUGCUUUUGAACGGGCCUUGGGACAAGAUUAUGCUCCUUGUACUAUUGGUGUCGUAUGUGAUCUCCUUGUUAUGCUUUACAUUAUUUUCCUCUGUAUAGACUUUGUCCCAUCAUUCCUUUCCUUCAAUUAAUGUUAGCAAUGUCUUUCAGGUUCGUGUUGAGAGGGAUAUUGUAAAUAGAAGGUACAAUCUCGCAACUACUGGUACAACCGCUGAGGUACAGAGUGAAUACCUUGUUUUAUUUUUGUUUUUGAGUAUUUGGAGGGUCUGAAAGCACCAGCCCAUUCCUUUUCCUAUGGAGAGUGAGAGAUUUGACUGCUUACUAGCACUGUCCCUAUACCACGUUAAGGUACGAUGAUGCAUAGCUUUUAACAUGAACCAACUCGCCGCAGUAUUUUCCAAUAACCAUAUUCCCCUCUAUUGGGUCCCUGAAACACUGAAACCAGCUGUUCUUAUGUUAUUUGUUAAGUAAUUUGGGUUCUAUUUACUUUUAAUUUUUUUAUGUUCGAUCCUUAAAGCAAAACGUCGAAGGAGCAGGACAUCUCUUCACUGCAAAUUAACCGCGCUGUAAAAUUGGGUUACAUUCAGUGUUUCUAUAUUAUCUGUGUUUUUUUCUUUUUUCCAUAAAACAGAGUAUAUGAUUUUGCAAAUGAACUUUAUGUUGGAGAGAGGAGUCAACUACAACCAGCAUUUACAUGCAUUUUUAAAAUUUGUGUUAAGAGUAUUAUUAUUAUUAUUAUUUUUUUUUUUUGGUUAGUCAACUGAAUACACAGUAUCUUGCUUGAUUAUUGUCAAGCAGAUAAAAUGAAUUUCCUGUUGAAGUUGUUUUCUUAUUUAAAGCAAUUAUGAGAAGAGGAUGAUCAUAAAUCAAAUGGUCAUGCUGAAGAAUUAUAUGAACUCAAACUUUAGAUCUUAAAAAUCACUUUUCAUUUUAUAAACUCAGGAAUCUAAAUGGGAACUAAUAGGUCCCUUUUGUCAAAAGUGGUUUGUAAUGUCUGGAAGUAGCCUUUUUGUUCAUAGGAAACAGUCUGACUUUCACUAGUCAUACAGUUUACAGACCAAUUAUAUACUGAUAAUUACAAUCUCAUGGAAUUUGUACAUUAACAAGUGUUAUUUCAUGCUGAAUUCAAGAGAGCAGCAGAAUAUGAUUGAGAUAUUUAUGCAUGAGUUGAUGAGGAGAUGGUGUUCAGUAUUGGACACUGGAGCUGUACGAUGCAAGUUGGUUGUUAUAUUUUAUAGUUAAGUUGCAGUUUUACCCUCAACUCUUUUUCCACAAAAUUAUUUAUCUAGUGUCUAUCAUGGGAGUGGAGAAUUUAGAGUCAUAACUACCCCCAAAUUGUUGGAUGAUACCUUUAUUUCAUAUUGCAAUCCGUUCAUCUAUACAUUAAAUCGACUUUGUAAUUAAUAUGUGCAUCUUCUGAGGAUUAAAAUUGAAAUAUGGCUGGCAAAUAUGUGCACGAGGAAAAGUAGGUGAAGAAU
Molecule: long non-coding RNA, 1555 nt
Filed under: Olea europaea (common olive)
Lineage: Eukaryota; Viridiplantae; Streptophyta; Magnoliopsida; Lamiales; Oleaceae
Description: long non-coding RNA (OEUR_LNC011838)
Source: RNAcentral